RNAcentral lists this ribosomal RNA (464 nucleotides) under Vreelandella stevensii. RNAcentral describes it as "partial 16S ribosomal RNA". It matches the Rfam family "Bacterial small subunit ribosomal RNA", at positions 338 to 795 of the family's 1533-position model. Lineage: Bacteria; Pseudomonadati; Pseudomonadota; Gammaproteobacteria; Oceanospirillales; Halomonadaceae. The record is from RNAcentral.
CCUACGGGCGGCAGCAGUGGGGAAUAUUGGACAAUGGGGGCAACCCUGAUCCAGCCAUGCCGCGUGUGUGAAGAAGGCCCUCGGGUUGUAAAGCACUUUCAGUGAGGAAGAACGCCUGGUGGUUAAUACCCAUCAGGAAAGACAUCACUCACAGAAGAAGCACCGGCUAACUCCGUGCCAGCAGCCGCGGUAAUACGGAGGGUGCGAGCGUAAUCGGAAUUACUGGGCGUAAAGCGCGCGUAGGUGGCUUAAUAAGCCGGUUGUGAAAGCCCCGGGCUCAACCUGGGAACGGCAUCCGGAACUGUCAAGCUAGAGUGCAGGAGAGGAAGGUAGAAUUCCCGGUGUAGCGGUGAAAUGCGUAGAGAUCGGGAGGAAUACCAGUGGCGAAGGCGGCCUUCUGGACUGACACUGACACUGAGGUGCGAAAGCGUGGGUAGCAAACAGGAUUAGAUACCCCGGUAGUC